GGGUAUAGCUCAGCGGUAGAGCACCUCCCUAGCAUAAGUAAGGCCCUCAGUUCAAUCCUCAGUGCCACA
This 69-nucleotide transfer RNA is filed under the name Marmota monax (woodchuck). Its description in RNAcentral is "tRNA.Ala". Lineage: Eukaryota; Metazoa; Chordata; Mammalia; Rodentia; Sciuridae. The record is from RNAcentral.